UGAGAGGAUGAUCAGCCACACUGGAACUGAGACACGGUCCAGACUUCUACGGGAGGCAGCAGUGGGGAAUCUUAGACAAUGGGGGAAACCCUGAUCUAGCCAUGCCGCGUGAGUGACGAAGGCCUUAGGGUCGUAAAGCUCUUUCAGCUGUGAAGAUAAUGACGGUAGCAGCAGAAGAAACCCCGGCUAACUCCGUGCCAGCAG
RNAcentral lists this ribosomal RNA (204 nucleotides) under Synchroma pusillum. Its description in RNAcentral is "partial Bacterial small subunit ribosomal RNA". It matches the Rfam family "Bacterial small subunit ribosomal RNA", at positions 293 to 514 of the family's 1533-position model. Lineage: Eukaryota; Synchromophyceae; Synchromales; Synchromaceae. The record is from RNAcentral.